UCUGGCCUCCGACCACAGACCUGUGCAUAAAAACAUCCUCCCUUGGCUUUAUUUUCCCCGCUUUGAGCUUCUGAGCUGAUUUCUGUGCAGCUGGAUGUCAAGUGCCACCAUUUCACCAUAGUCACCCUUUCUUUUGCCAUGGAAGGACAAAACUGAGGGAAGAAUCCAUUGUGGUCUGCGACGCAAGCUUUAUGCCUGUUUUAUUUAACUGCAAUCCAGUUUAAUGGAGCUGGAGCAACUGCACUGGGCCCGGCCCACGCCCCAGGAUGGACCUGAGCCCCCCGCAAAGCAACCCGGAGAAAGUCAUAGAGCCCCACAAUCCAUACAGACAUCCCACAGAGACGCACAGCGACCGCUAGAGACUCGUAGAGACCCCAUAGCGAUCACUUAAUGAUCCCAUUACGGUGGGUCUGGGCUGGGUGUGAGGCCAAGGCGGGGUUAAUAAAGGCCUGGGGGCGUGGUCUGUGCUGUGGGAGGGGCUAAUGUAGGGGGGUGGGUGUGGUUUAGGCUAAGGGAUGGGUGGUACCAGGAGGCGAGGCCUCUGUUGGGGUGGGCCAAUGAGGGACAAGGGGCGUGGACUCGGGUGAGGGUGUGAUGGAGGCUGUGGGUGUCUGUGGAAAAUGUGAAAGCAUUCCUUCGUUAUGAGGAACGCGGUUCUUUCUGAUAAUGAGCUGUAUCCCCUUCAUUAUUUUAUAGAGGCAAAGAAGUUGUAUAACGUUUACUGUUUUCUUCUGGUGUAUCUGAUAGUAAAGAUCUUGCCUAACGAAAAGCAGUCUUUGAAA
Molecule: long non-coding RNA, 782 nt
Organism: Strigops habroptila (Kakapo)
Lineage: Eukaryota; Metazoa; Chordata; Aves; Psittaciformes; Psittacidae
Exons: 4
Source: RefSeq, a predicted model, not a curated record